This 336-nucleotide unclassified non-coding RNA is filed under the name soil metagenome. RNAcentral's name for it is "partial contains 5.8S ribosomal RNA, internal transcribed spacer 2, and large subunit ribosomal RNA". The stretch from base 1 to 120 matches the Rfam family "5.8S ribosomal RNA", at positions 35 to 154 of the family's 154-position model. The record is from RNAcentral.
GAUGAAGAACGUAGCUAAAUGCGAUAAGUAAUGUGAAUUGCAGAAUUCAGUGAAUCAUCGAAUCUUUGAACGCACAUUGCGCCCCUUGGUAUUCCGGGGGGCAUGCCUGUUCGAGCGUCAUUUCAACCCUCAAGCUCUGCUUGGUAUUGGGCUCCGUCCUCCUCGGACGCGCCUCAAAGACCUCGGCGGUGGCGUCUUGCCUCAAGCGUAGUAGAAACACCUCGCUUUGGAGUGCAUGGCGUCGCCCGCCGGACGAAACCUUUUGUAUUUUCUCAAGGUUGACCUCGGAUCAGGUAGGGAUACCCGCUGAACUUAAGCAUAUCAAUAAGCGGAGGA